CCCACCCACUCCUUACAUGUCCAAAUCGAGUAAGGUUUCUUGUUCUUUUUUAAAUUUUCUUCUCUAUCCUCUCAAUUGUUAAUUUUUCUUCCCUGCCAAUACCUUACAACCUCAAAAUUGACUUUUGUUGUUAUCCGGUGAUGCCUAAUCUAUGGAUUUUGGCUGGUGUUCAAUGAUUUUAGUACUGCUGGUGAAAAAUAUGCAAGAUCCA
This 211-nucleotide unclassified non-coding RNA is filed under the name Hevea brasiliensis (rubber tree). The record is from RNAcentral. Lineage: Eukaryota; Viridiplantae; Streptophyta; Magnoliopsida; Malpighiales; Euphorbiaceae.